This is a non-coding RNA of Nothobranchius furzeri (turquoise killifish), 4412 nucleotides long. NCBI's taxonomy places the organism in Eukaryota, Metazoa, Chordata, Actinopteri, Cyprinodontiformes, Nothobranchiidae. The record is from RefSeq and is a predicted model, not a curated record.
UAAAUCUUCUGGUCCCCAAGCCGGUAAACGACCGAGAGAACCGGUUUGGGUCGACACACACCGGCGGUGUCGAUCGGUCCAGUUGCAGGUUGAACCGCAGCAGCGGAGGGGGCGCUGUUGAGCUACUGAAUCCAGAAAUCUGGUUGGGCUAGUGCAGAACGAACAAGUUCCUGGAGCCAUUGUGAUGUGCAGCUUCCAGCAGACGUCUCCAGAGGCCGCCCACUUUCACGUCCUGAGAAGGAAUGUCAAGCAGGCCAUGGGUUUAAAAAUCUGUGACACACACAUAAAUGACACACCAUGUGUCCUUUUCCAUUUCAUGGCAGGAAUGGGCUUCCAUAGACUGAUACACCAGCACUAGUGAUUUAGAAUAUCAUCCUUCUGUUGUUCAGAAGUGCUUCCAAAAGUGAAACCUUUAACUCCUGUGUGCAGGAGCGGCCAUAUUGGGAAACUGUUGGAGCUGGAAGUCCCACCUGGCUAGAAUAGUGAUCUAAGGUCAGCACACACUCCCCCAAAACCUGCCUGACUCUGCAUGAAGACAGUCAAACCUUAAUGUGCCCCAGUGACAACACUUUUAGACACACCCGAGAGGAACUGGUCUACUUUAGGAUUUCACACGGGGAACGUCACCUUUUCACCACGGAGUACUCAUGCAGAACACAUGAAAUGAUUUUCCUCUUUCACUUGUUUAAAAACAGCUGAAGGCAACAUCUUUAAACAUUCUCAUGGAAAACAAAUUACAGACAUCCAUCUUUUUUUAAACAAAUUGAUUUAUUAUGCAACCAAAUCCCUUACACACACUCAUUCACGCACGCACACACACUUAAAUACAUGAUGUGGUGGAACUUCGGCAUAGUGGACGCUGCAGUUGCACAUGCUUCAGUAAAACUAUAGAUAUAUUUACAGAAUAAAUCAUUUCUAUGAAGAAAACACAAGAACGGCUCUUAGUCCCACCCCGCAGCGCUUCCAAAUGCUUCUCUUUAUUUUUUGGAAAACUCCCACAUUUAAAAAGAGCUUAAAAAACAAACAAAACAAAAACACACAUACACACUAACAAUGGGGUUUUGGCCGAUACGACGCAGCGUUUCAUGUGUAUGGAGUUUACCUACUACAUAAAUAUGGCAGUAACACUGAGCAACUUAUUUGAUCUAUGUACAAGGUUCAUGAAGUGGGGAAAUACUUCAGUGUGUGUGGACAACAUAUGCCUUCUUUAGGUCUGGGGGACCUGAUCUAGAGAAAACCCGACACCCGUCUCUCUCUCUCAGCCUCCGUUCGACCGGUCAGCACUGACACAACAAACUAAAUAAGGCACAAUUAAUACUUGGACCAUUUUAGAUAAAUCUACACACUAACAGCUGGCUUGUGAGGCAUGUAAACAAUUAGAGUUGAUUGAUGUCUCAUCACACUCCUGCUCGGGUUUCCAAGUCCAGUCCAUCCGAUGACCUCAAAACAAACCACAAGGACCUCUAACCCCCAAAACACGAGAAAGGGUUUCCCUCUAUGCUACUUAACAAUCACAUGGGCAAACAGAAAGAACUAGUAGUGCAAACACUACAAACACAACAGGAAACGGCGACGCCACCUUCAGGCCACAGAAGCGACGCGCUAACGAGAGGAAAACGAUCCAGACAAUAACAGAUGAUCCGUAAACUCCUGAAAGCCCAACAGGUGCAGAUGCUAUGUGACUAAAUCAAAGAUAAAAGGAGAGAAGAGGCUUCCCUCUCCCACUCCAAGGAUCCUCCCAGACUAAUGUGUGUUUGAUCGGAACAUUCCCAAUCCGACGGUCCACACUGGGACGAACCACUGAAGAGACUUUCAGGUCUAACGGCACUGGUCACGCUUGCCCCCCAGACACAUCAGAAGAUCCUCCCUAAAGGUUCCAGGUUGCUCUGUUGAUGGUAACCUUCGCAGGAUGAGGGGGUGGGGGGUCUGACACUCAGUCCUCCCCGGCCAAAACAGCUGCAGACACAGACAGAUUCAGUGGGGCUGGAGAGCAGGGCAUUAUGGGUAAAUGGGUGGGACAGAGCAGGAGGGGAGGAAGCCUGUUGCAGCUGCUUGGGGCUUCUGGCUUUGGUUAAUGCAGUGGAAAGUGCUCAGUCGUGCUUUAGGUGGUCCUUGAUGUCCUCCUCAUCUGUGUAUUCUGACGGUUCGUCUCCAGGCUUCAGCAACCUUCCAACAUAAUCGUAUUUUUCUGAAAACACAACAAACGUAUUUUAUAUAUAAUCAAGUUUAAUAAAAGUGGCAGUGUGUUGUGUUCCUGCCACUAGGGGGCAGCACAUACACACAUUUCUGGGUAGUUUUACACCAUAUAAUCGUGACUGUCGCUAGUUUAAAAAAACAAUACGGUAAAUGUUACCUCAGUGUGCUUGGGGUCCUGCACCUGCCGAUGACAUCAUACUACGGAAAUACCACUCGGCUAAAAUGUAUUGCAUCCCUUUUUGAUUCUGUUCUUUUACACAGAUUUCAAAAAAAGUUUAGCAGUUUUGUUAUUGAAUUUGUGUUUCUUACUGCCUAAAUAUUUUUGAACGUGGUAACGUAACUUCAGGAAGUUGUACGUCUAGCCACUCAUCUAAUGUGACAUCAUCAACAGGCACAGGAGCCCAAGCCGGCCAGAAGGAAACAUGGCGUCUAAUAUGGCGCCCCCCAAAGGCGCUAGACCCAUGGACUAUGCAGUUUAGACUUGAUAUUUUUUUGGUUAUGUUACGAAGCCGCCAAUACUUUUCAACUACUGGACAUUUUACUCAUUUCCAACAUUUUGAUGGACAUUUCCAGAGAAUAAAGGUAAAAAUAUACAGUUACUUUAAACUUAUUUUCAUUUACUGCAACCAGUAAGGGAAUCUGGAGCUUUUAUAAUUUAGAUUUGAUGCUGUAAUUUGAGACAACUUGUGUUGUAAACAGGAUGAAGACGAGGCUCAAGGACAGUCUUACACAUAUUACAUAUUCAGUGUAUUCUGUCUUUUUUCAGCCCAUGUGGCAACAGCACUUGUUAGUUUAGUCUGAUCUGACGCGAGAUAUUUCUGUUGAAACUUAAGCGGUCAGUUGGGUUACCAGGUUAAAGUACCUCAAAUACCAAUUCUACAAUUAUUCUGGUUUCAGCUUAAAGAUAAUAAUUAACGCUCCUGUGUGAAUGAGCUAAGCAGCAGCUUCACGUCUACAGGAGGACUAAAACUAGUCAUUAGGGCUAGUGAGCUAAAUAAAGUUAAAGAGCGUCACCCCCAAAUCAACUUUUUUUCCUGAUAAACUAUAUAAAUGCGUGUCUAAUCGUGCUGCAGACAUGUGUAGUCAAUUGUUUAGCACUUUAGUGCAUUUUAGUUAAAAUCUUAAUUUUCUGCCUAAACGGUCAGUGUUGUGCCAUUGUCAGGUAAAAAUUCUGCAUUUGAAUUCAAAUCUGUCAUCGCUAUUGGCUAAGAGGUACCUUAGAACGUUAGCUGGUACCAUAUGAUGUCACAAUGUCGCCGUGAGUCUGUGUGUGUGUAUUUGUUAGCGGCUCCGCCAUCUCAGUCUGCUAGGCAACAGCAUUCGUUGCAUUUUUCAAACAGGAAGUGGGAGUGGAGUAAUACUCUGGUAGGGGGUGACUUGCUCUUUAACAUUUAUCUUCAACUAAAUAUAUGACUUUCUUUUCUUUAUUAAUCUAGUUGUUUUUGUACAAUUAACUAAAUUAAAACAAAUGAAAAUACAUGUUCUCUCCUUUAAAAGGAACAUAAUCAAACCACACUCAUUUAAGUUAUAAUCAACAUAAAAAACAAGUCAGUCAGGUUUACCAGAAUUAAAAUGCAUACCUUUAGAUGUCUCUGCAGGAUCUGCAUCAAAGCAGCACUCAGUGAGCAGCUUAUUUAUUAGCUAUAAACCAAAUGUAAAAGCUUACCCAUGAACUGCAUCUCCCAUUCCCUCACACUCUCCAUCUGUACAGCGCUGAGAUCAGAUAGGUCGUCGUAUUCGUCCCUCAGGGCGUUCUUCUCUAGGCAGAAUGUGGCCAGGCCCCUCGAAGCAUCCCGCCCAGCAAAAAUACCAUAAGGGCCGUCUGAAAGGAAAAAACAACACCCGUCAAUAAGACCUGAAAAAGAAGAACUCCUUCUUGUGUUUUUCCCAGAAAGAGCAUCAGUAUGAGCUUCACAACAAGAAGUUUGAUUUGUUUAUUCUGUUAAUUCCUUAAACACACAACGGCUGUUUGGUGUAAUUCCUUGUUUACUGAAGCUUUUAACAUGUUGUUUGGUCUUAACUAUAGUGAAAGCCCUCUGCUUUACUUAUUUAAUGAAUAAUUUUAUGUGAAAAUUUCUUACAGGAGUAGAAGGUGACGCCAGCUGGUCUGACUGAGCUCCGCACAGGUUUCACAAGCAUGAAAAACAUUUCAUUAAAACAUCUUUAGUCAUGUUCAAGCCAUCAUCUGACUCCCACGUGAAAAAUCAGAGCUUUGU